This is a long non-coding RNA of Alligator sinensis (Chinese alligator), 870 nucleotides long. RefSeq lists it as uncharacterized. The record is from RefSeq and is a predicted model, not a curated record. NCBI's taxonomy places the organism in Eukaryota, Metazoa, Chordata, Crocodylia, Alligatoridae. The transcript has 2 exons.
CAGUUGAAAGAGGCAUAUAAAAAUGUUUGCCACUCAGGGUUCGUCUAACCACUUCUAUCAAUUCUUUCUCCCUGGUGAACUAAGUGGUCCUCCAUCGCUGAGAGAUGUCUUCUGGAAUAGGGUGCUCCAACCCAUGCGAAGUGAACUGCCCACAGCCACAGGCUGUCACCGACAAUGAGCCAUGUGUUAUCACCUGUCCUGACUCAAGAGUGAUCAUCUACCCGCCACCAGUGGUUGUCACUUUCCCGGGACCAAUUCUCACCACUUGCCCUCAGGAAAGUGUAGUGGCAUCCACAGCAUCAGCUGACACUGUGCCAGCUGAAAUGCCAGCCUCGGUACCUUUGACCACAGCGGUCAGUGGAAGUUUGGAGCCAUGCGCUGAGACCAUUGCACCCCCAAUUAUUCCGAGACCCUUGUCUCGGUAUGUUCCUAAAUAUUCACAUACUUACUCUUCCCAUUGGAUGCAUCCUUGCAAUACAAACCGGUUUGGAAAGCGCUGGGCAUAUUAAACCCAGAAGAAGUAGCCAUGGUACAAUUUAGAUACAGUGACUGAAAGUCAAGGUCCAGAUUCAUGGCUGAGCUAAGGGACUGGUUCUCAGAAGUGCUGAGGCCCAUGACUCCAACUAAAGUCAGUAAGAACUGUAAGCAUUCAGCACCUCUAAAAACCAGGCCUAUAUAUAGAGAUAGAAAUAUAGAUAUCUAUAGCUCAUAUUGCCCUUUAUUUUAGAUCAGUUAUCUAAUGGCUGCCCAGCUUAAUCUUAUGCUUGCACUGUGCUUUGCCUUAUCUGACACUGGCUCUGGUCAAAUAAAUCAUGUGGGUGGUUUGAAAACAAGACUUAAUUGUCAAACUCUUCAGCUGCGGGAAAGAAA